UCAUAUUAUUAUAAAUUUUAAUUUAUUUACGAAAAUAAUUAACUUUUACUUAGAAGCCAAAGACACAAUUUCCUAUUGACAUACACGUUUUUGUAAUUAUGUCGACUAUUAUUAUAUAUUUAUUUUAAAUAAAUUAAAAACAUAAUUUUUUACCUUUUUUAACUAAUAUAAAAAAUAUUUAGGUGUAUAAUAUUUUUUCUUCGUCAUAUUUUUUAAUUCAGUUCAGUCUAUACUGGAUACUGGCAGACUCCGUUGCAAUUCUUAGGAACUACUCCUGGUUGUAGUUUGCAUACCUUGUUGCCGCAUAUAUACUCUCCCUUCCUAAGAUUUAAGGAUGGUACGUGAUGGUUGCCUUUACCUAUACUGUUAGUUGCGUUAACUAAUAAAAGGUAAUAAGCUAAGACAGAUGGAAAUAUUUUGGUUAAAAUUUGGAACAGCCCGACUGGGGAAAUAUCUCAACCUUAGAAAAGGUCACACCUAAAUAGCAUUACCCUCAAGUAUUUUUGUGUUCCUGUGGUGAGUAAGGUCACCAGAGAUCCUAGGGAGGGUCGGGGGUUAGAGUCAGCAACGCAUGCGAUGUUUCUC
RNAcentral lists this unclassified non-coding RNA (585 nucleotides) under Melitaea cinxia (Glanville fritillary). RNAcentral describes it as "misc RNA ENSMCXG00005012384.1". Lineage: Eukaryota; Metazoa; Arthropoda; Insecta; Lepidoptera; Nymphalidae. The record is from RNAcentral.